AUUCAAAUUAAUGCUGCCCCAACUGACAACACCAAGAAAUGUUAUAGCCAAAUUCAAAAACAAUCAGAUGAAAGAAAAGAUAUUACAAGCUGCCAAGAAGAAGCCAUUCAGAUACCAUGGAAACACGGUGAGGUUAACACAGGAUCUGGCUGCAUCCACACUGAAGGACCAAAAGGCAUGGAUUACGAUAUUCCAGAAAGCAAGGGAACUAGGUCUACAACCAAGAAUAAAAUACCCAUCAAAACUGACUAUAUUCUUACAGGGGAAAGUAUGGUCGUUCAACACAACAGAAGAGUUCCAAGCAUUCAUAAAUAAAAGACCAGACCUGAACAGAAAAUUUGAUGUCCAACCACAGAACUCAAGAGAAUCAUCAAAAGUUAUACCUUUGUACCUCUGCCCAGUUCGUCUCCAGAGGGUAGAGACCAAGAGUCAUUUGGAGUCCACUUUGCAAAUAGCCAAGGUACUCUGAACCCUAGAGCCACAUGGUAAUCUCCUCCUCGAGUCUCUUCCCAGCAGCAUCUCUCCAACCUAACCCUUGAAGUAGAAGCACACCGUGGGACUGGCUCGAGCUCUCAUUCCCCUUGGAUUAGAAUGGAGAGGAAUCUGAACGUCCUUGCAAAACUUUAAAAUCCCAAACCUUUAGGCCAACAACAGAAGAGGGAAAUUGUUCCACAUCCUGUCGGGAGGAAAUGAAAGGUAUUGGGGGAGAGAAGAAUGUGCUGCGUGGUGUGAAACUUUGCUUCAGAUUCCUGGGGCUGAACAUCUGCCCUGGUUUUGUGCAGUGCUGCCCUGCUUGAGCUGCAAACAAGUACCUCCAGACUCAGCAGCAGCCUGUUCCAAACUGGAGCUGUCUCACUUGGCAGCUGUGGGAAUACCAACAGGAAGCGAGGGACCCUGGAAGAAAGUGUGGGAGUACAUCCUGUGGGGACAGAUAAAGAAUCCCAGUAAGGCUAUGGGAACCUCUUCCGAACAAACAUGAGAGUUUAGAAUUUCCUGAGCCAGGGAUCUGACUUGUGUUUUCAGAGACUCUAGGCAUUUGUUAUUUCUGUUUAUUUGUUUUUUCAAGCGAAUUUGCAUAAACAUAACUGAGCAAAGGAAGAGAGGGAGAGAGGCAAAAUGUAAAUUAUUGAUUUCUUUAAGUUAUUCUUCACAAGGGGCUCAGAAGAUGCCAUGGGAUGGAAUUCAAUCCUUUUGACAUAGAAUUUACUUCAUUGGGCCAUUGAGCUAAAUCUGUCAUUCAAAUUCCUUCCUACCUGUUCUAGGUGGUUCCAAGACAUCAAACCAGGGAGGAUUUAUUCCAUCAGAGACUCCACUCCCUCCUGGGAUCUACUUACAUUUCUGUGUCGUUUUUGGACAGCAGAGACCAUGAUGAUCUUUUAGAAUAUCCCAAUGUGUAUAUAUGCAUUUAUACAUAGAAUGUAUAGUCAAUUUAGUUCAACAAACAUUACAUUAAGUACCUACUAUAUGCCAAGUACUCUUUAAGGGACUGGGAAUAACAAAGACAAAUCAAAAUAAACUCUGUCCUCAAUUGAUUAGAAAUCA
RNAcentral lists this long non-coding RNA (1542 nucleotides) under Monodelphis domestica (gray short-tailed opossum). RNAcentral's name for it is "lncRNA (ENSMODG00000049301.1)". Lineage: Eukaryota; Metazoa; Chordata; Mammalia; Didelphimorphia; Didelphidae. The record is from RNAcentral.